AGCAGCCGCGGUAAUUCCAGCUCCAAUAGCGUAUAUUAAAGUUGUUGCAGUUAAAAAGCUCGUAGUUGAAUUUCGGGAUUUGUCAGUUGGUCGGGCUUCACUGUCCGUAUUGACUUGAUGGAUUCUUACCUUCUGAAUAACCAGCAUGCUAUUAAGUUAGUGCGUUGGGGAAGCAGAUCUAUUACCUUGAAAAAAUUAGAGUGCUUAAAGCGAGCUAGUGCUUGAAUAGAUUAGCAUGGAAUAAUAAAAUAGGACGGCAUGGUUCUAUUUUGUUGGUUUCUAGGAUCACCGUAAUGAUUAAUAGGGAUAGUUGGGGGCAUUAGUACUCAAUUGUCAGAGGUGAAAUUCUUGGAUUUAUUGAAGACUAACUUCUGCGUAAGCAUUUGCCAAGGAUGUUUUCAUUAAUCAAGACGAAAGUUAGGGGAUCGAAGACGAUCAGAUACCGUCGUAGUCUUAACCAUAAACUAUGCCGACUAGGAAUCGGAUGAUGUUAAUUUAUAAUGUA
RNAcentral lists this ribosomal RNA (505 nucleotides) under uncultured Acaulospora. RNAcentral describes it as "SSU rRNA". It matches the Rfam family "Eukaryotic small subunit ribosomal RNA", at positions 569 to 1078 of the family's 1831-position model. Lineage: Eukaryota; Fungi; Glomeromycota; Glomeromycetes; Diversisporales; Acaulosporaceae. The record is from RNAcentral.